Molecule: transfer RNA, 72 nt
Filed under: Phrynosoma platyrhinos (Desert horned lizard)
Lineage: Eukaryota; Metazoa; Chordata; Lepidosauria; Squamata; Phrynosomatidae
Description: tRNA-OTHER
Source: RNAcentral
UACAGUGUGGUGUAGUGGUCUGAGCACUAGACUACGACUCUAGAGACCAAGGUUCAAUUCCCAGCUCAGCCA